Long non-coding RNA from Sander lucioperca (pikeperch), 988 nucleotides. RefSeq lists it as uncharacterized. The record is from RefSeq and is a predicted model, not a curated record. NCBI's taxonomy places the organism in Eukaryota, Metazoa, Chordata, Actinopteri, Perciformes, Percidae. The transcript is spliced from 2 exons.
CUUGUAAUUGGUAGCGUGUGCUUUGUGAAAGCUUUCAUUUAUGAUGCAAAACAAAGUACAGUACUCUACAUUGCAGAGAGGUGAGAAUGUGUGAAAUAUGUGUAUAAAGACACAGUUAGUUACUAUUAAGGUUCCUUUUUUUUUCUUACUCUGUGUGUGGGAACCCACUAUCUACUCAUUGAUGUUAAAGCUACCCGUUCUCUUUAACAUUCUGUUGCCUUGACCUCCCUUCUACUCUUGACAACCAUGCCCAUAUUUAACUCGCUUAAACUGACCCUGGUGCAUAUUGUAGUCUCUGUAUGUUGUAUGUUGUAUGCUAUGUUGUCCCCGAGAGCACUGAACACACAGGUCUUUAGAGUAGGAUGGAUUAUGGAGUGCAACUGUGCAUAUUAACCACACAUCUGCAGAAUAUAUGAAAAUUACACUUACAAGCACUGUAGCAUUGUUCUUGUGGAUGAUUAUGAGACACAUAGCACUGCUCUUGAUAUAAAUGCUUGUAAUAUGAAUUAAUUUUACCCACAAAAACUACAUGUCCUAUUUAAAACACACCAACCCUGUGGUUUUGUAGAAACAGCUACAGUAUUGAUUUAGCUAUUGACAACAUGCUGUUAGUCCAUAUAGUCAAUGAUCUGAUAAUGAACUCCUGGCUCUGUGUGAGUAGAGGAUGCUGUGUGUGAUAAACUUAAAAAGUUGACAGUUCACCCUGCACAUUGUGACAGGAGGAACAGAGAGGAUGCCAGCCUGCUGCCAACUCUGUCCACUCCAGUUUAAGUCUCACACCAGUGCAAAACAAAAAGCAUGACGCUGCUCAGGUGUGGGACCAUAACUGUGGGAGACUCUAUCUGCAGAAUCCUCUGGGAUGGCAGCCUCCAGAAAGCACAAAAGAAGACCAAGCUGUAGAUUCAGUCAUUUUCCGUUGCAAGGUCUAUUUGAACAGAAAGAGGAAAGAAUUUGUUGCACACCACGGUCAUCUACUGAGACAAGGUAA